CAGUAGCCGCGGGAACACCAGCACCUCGAGUGGUCAGGAGGUUUAUUGGGCCUAAAGCAUCCGUAGCCGGUUGCAUAAGUUUUCGGUUAAAUCUGUGCGCUUAACGUAUAGGCCGCCGAAAGUACUGUGCAGCUAGGGAGUGGGAGAGGUACACGGUACUCGAUAGGAAGGGGUAAAAUCCCUUGAUCUAUUGAUGACCACCUGUGGCGAAGGCGGUGUACCAGAACACGUUCGACGGUGAGGGAUGAAAGCUGGGGGAGCAAACCGGAUUAGAUACCCGUGUAGUCCCUGUCUCUUAUAC
This 301-nucleotide ribosomal RNA is filed under the name uncultured bacterium. RNAcentral's name for it is "partial 16S ribosomal RNA". It matches the Rfam family "Archaeal small subunit ribosomal RNA", at positions 459 to 760 of the family's 1478-position model. The record is from RNAcentral.